UACGUAGGUGGCAAGCGUUGUCCGGAUUUACUGGGUGUAAAGGGCGUGUAGGCGGGACGGUAGGUCAGAUGUGAAAUUCCAAGGCUCAACCUUGGACCUGCAUUUGAAACCGCUGUUCUUGAGUGAUGGAGAGGUAAGUGGAAUUCCUAGUGUAGCGGUGAAAUGCGUAGAUAUUAGGAGGAACACCAGUGGCGAAGGCGACUUACUGGACAUUAACUGACGCUGAGGCGCGAAAGCGUGGGGAGCAAACAGG
Molecule: ribosomal RNA, 253 nt
Filed under: uncultured bacterium
Lineage: Bacteria
Description: partial 16S ribosomal RNA
Rfam family: Bacterial small subunit ribosomal RNA
Source: RNAcentral